RNAcentral lists this ribosomal RNA (251 nucleotides) under uncultured bacterium. RNAcentral's name for it is "partial 16S ribosomal RNA". It matches the Rfam family "Bacterial small subunit ribosomal RNA", at positions 525 to 775 of the family's 1533-position model. The record is from RNAcentral.
ACGUAGGGGGCAAGCGUUAUCCGGAUUUACUGGGUGUAAAGGGAGCGUAGACGGCAAGGCAAGUCUGAUGUGAAAACCCAGGGCUUAACCUUGGGACUGCAUUGGAAACUGUCUGGCUCGAGUGCCGGAGAGGUAAGCGGAAUUCCUAGUGUAGCGGUGAAAUGCGUAGAUAUUAGGAAGAACACCAGUGGCGAAGGCGGCUUACUGGACGGUAACUGACGUUGAGGCUCGAAAGCGUGGGGAGCAAACAG